RNAcentral lists this ribosomal RNA (255 nucleotides) under uncultured bacterium. Its description in RNAcentral is "partial 16S ribosomal RNA". It matches the Rfam family "Bacterial small subunit ribosomal RNA", at positions 524 to 776 of the family's 1533-position model. The record is from RNAcentral.
UACGUAGGCAGCAAGCGUUGUUCGGAGUUACUGGGCGUAAAGGGUGCGUAGGCGGUCCUAUAAGUAUGGUGUGAAAUCUCCCGGCUUAACUGGGAGGGUGCGCUAUAGACUGUGGGACUAGAGUGUGGGAGAGGAAAGUGGAAUUCCUGGUGUAGCGGUGAAAUGCGUAGAUAUCAGGAGGAACACCGGUGGUGUAGACGGCUUUCUGGACCAUAAACUGACGCUGAGGCACGAAAAGCGUGGGUAGCAAACAGG